Molecule: ribosomal RNA, 504 nt
Filed under: uncultured bacterium
Lineage: Bacteria
Description: partial 16S ribosomal RNA
Rfam family: Bacterial small subunit ribosomal RNA
Source: RNAcentral
AUUGAACGCUGGCGGCAUGCCUUACACAUGCAAGUCGAACGGCAGCAUGGAGAGCUUGCUCUCUGAUGGCGAGUGGCGAACGGGUGAGUAAAGCAUCGGAACGUACCGUGUAGUGGGGGAUAACGUAGCGAAAGUUACGCUAAUACCGCAUACGCACUGAGGUGGAAAGCAGGGGAUCGUAAGACCUUGCGCUAUACGAGCGGCCGAUGUCAGAUUAGCUAGUUGGUAGGGUAAAGGCCUACAAAGGCGACGAUCUGUAGCGGGUCUGAGAGGAUGUGCCGCCACGCUGGGACUGGCACACGGCCCAGACUCCUACGGGAGGCAGCAGUGGGGAAUUUUGGACAAUGGUGGCAACCCUGAUCCAGCCAUGCCGCGUGAGUGAAGAAGGCCUUCGGGUUGUAAAGCUCGUUCGGCCGGGAAGAACUCGCACAGGAUAAUACCCUGUGUGGAUGACGGUACCGGCAUAAGAAGCACCGGCUAACUACGUGCCAGCCGCCGCAGUAA